RNAcentral lists this long non-coding RNA (398 nucleotides) under Rattus norvegicus (Norway rat). Its description in RNAcentral is "long non-coding RNA NONRATT001511". Lineage: Eukaryota; Metazoa; Chordata; Mammalia; Rodentia; Muridae. The record is from RNAcentral.
UAGAUCACCACUUUGUACCCACAAGUGAUUUGAGUUGGGGAUCCAGGGGCAGCAGAGGUAACCAUCAGGAAGAUAUUUAAAGAAAUGAUACAUCACAGACGAGAAGCUGGGGGGAAAGAGACAUGCAGAGACCCGGUCAAAGGAUCAGACAAAGAGGAGGGAUUUUGAGGUUGCUGCAUCACAUGGGUCACAGAAGGUCAAUCACAUCACGCAGCAUAAACUGGAGACUGAAAAGGGUUGAAAUGCUGCCAUGCUUGACUAGCGGAAGGCACCAUCUGUGCAACACACAAGAUUCAGGUUCCGUCAGGGUGCAAGGUUCUCUGAGCUCCCUUUGGACUCCCACAGGCCCAAGGAACUCUACUGAAUAAAAAGCAAAAAUUAAAAAAAAAAAAAAAAAA